ACCGAAUCUUCUAAUAUGUGUGACUCCAUAGGUUCGAACCUAAGUCGGUAGCAUAAGAAUAAAUUUUUAUACUAAUCAAUGUAACUAUCUAGCAAUGGAUCCGAUGUCUGGAUUGGUCAAAAGAUUGCAAAACAACAUUCUAGAACCUACUGGCAUAUGGUUACCGUAUAAUUCAUCCCUUUGACCCUAAUGCUCAAAGUCACCUAGGGUUUAAUUGUCAA
RNAcentral lists this long non-coding RNA (221 nucleotides) under Elaeis guineensis (African oil palm). RNAcentral describes it as "long non-coding RNA (EGUI_LNC039780)". The record is from RNAcentral. Lineage: Eukaryota; Viridiplantae; Streptophyta; Magnoliopsida; Arecales; Arecaceae.